This 497-nucleotide ribosomal RNA is filed under the name uncultured bacterium. RNAcentral describes it as "partial 16S ribosomal RNA". It matches the Rfam family "Bacterial small subunit ribosomal RNA", at positions 28 to 507 of the family's 1533-position model. The record is from RNAcentral.
GAUGAACGCUGGCGGCGUGCCUAAUACAUGCAAGUCGAGCGAACAGACGAGGAGCUUGCUCCUUUGACGUUAGCGGCGGACGGGUGAGUAACACGUGGGUAACCUACCUAUAAGACUGGGAUAACUUCGGGAAACCGGAGCUAAUACCGGAUAAUAUUUCGAACCGCAUGGUUCGAUAGUGAAAGAUGGCUCUGCUAUCACUUAUAGAUGGACCUGCGCCGCAUUAGCUAGUUGGUAAGGUAACGGCUUACCAAGGCAACGAUACGUAGCCGACCUGAGAGGGUGAUCGGCCACACUGGAACUGAGACACGGUCCAGACUCCUACGGGAGGCAGCAGUAGGGAAUCUUCCGCAAUGGGCGAAAGCCUGACGGAGCAACGCCGCGUGAGUGAUGAAGGUCUUCGGAUCGUAAAACUCUGUUAUUAGGGAAGAACAAACGUGUAAGUAACUGUGCACGUCUUGACGGUACCUAAUCAGAAAGCCACGGCUAACUACGUG